Molecule: transfer RNA, 19 nt
Filed under: Gymnomitrion sichuanicum
Lineage: Eukaryota; Viridiplantae; Streptophyta; Jungermanniopsida; Jungermanniales; Gymnomitriaceae
Description: partial tRNA-Phe
Source: RNAcentral
GCCGGAAUAGCUCAGUUGA